GAUGAACGCUGGCGGCGUGCCUAAUACAUGCAAGUCGAGCGAACGGACGAGAAGCUUGCUUCUCCGAUGUUAGCGGCGGACGGGUGAGUAACACGUGGAUAACCUACCUAUAAGACUGGGAUAACUUCGGGAAACCGUAGCUAAUACCGGAUAAUAUUUUGAACCGCAUGGUUCAAAAGUGAAAGACGGUCUUGCUGUCACUUAUAGAUGGAUCCGCGCUGCGUUAGCUAGUUGGUAAGGUAACGGCUUACCAAGGCAACGAUGCAUAGCCGACCUGAGAGGGUGAUCGGCCACACUGGAACUGAGACACGGUCCAGACUCCUACGGGAGGCAGCAGUAGGGAAUCUUCCGCAAAGGGCGAAAGCCUGACGGAGCAACGCCGCGUGAGUGAUGAAGGUCUUCGGAUCGUAAAACUCUGUUAUUAGGGAAGAACAUAUGUGUAAGUAACUGUGCACAUCUUGACGGUACCUAAUCAGAAAGCCACGGCUAACUACGUG
This 497-nucleotide ribosomal RNA is filed under the name uncultured bacterium. RNAcentral's name for it is "partial 16S ribosomal RNA". It matches the Rfam family "Bacterial small subunit ribosomal RNA", at positions 28 to 507 of the family's 1533-position model. The record is from RNAcentral.